This is a non-coding RNA of Pelobates cultripes (western spadefoot toad), 605 nucleotides long. The record is from the annotation of a GenBank genome assembly. NCBI's taxonomy places the organism in Eukaryota, Metazoa, Chordata, Amphibia, Anura, Pelobatidae.
UGUGACCGUAUCUCCUAAACACUGCUCAUACUGUGACCGUGUCUCCUAAAUACUGCUUACACUGUGACCCUAUCGCCUAUACACUGCUUACACUGUGACCCUAUUGCCUAUACACUGCUUACACUGUGACCCAAUCGCCUAAACACUGCUCACACUGUGAAUGUUAUUUUUUCAAGUUAGUUUUAGUGUUUGCGGUUUCAUUGAUUUGUUAACCACUCUCCUCAAUCUUCUGUUCUGUGUUUUCUUACAUUUGUGGGAAGAACAAGGUGAUCCUCUCAAUUUUACACUCCUCUACUGAUGGUUCCAGUGCCAGAGACAAACCCACCACCAUUAACCUCGGCCUGCUCAAACAGGAGAGAUUACCUUCUUCUACAGAAAACUUCCAUAUGGCUGUUUCGGAACACAUGCUGCAGACAUGAUUUAACCUUCAUCUUCCAGUGAUUGAGAAUCGUGGACCGUCCAGGGAAAGAGACCAUUAUAUUAUUAAGAUACUACCUUCCUAAUGCCAUACAGACUUUUUUUACAUUUGAUUGAACUUUCUCCUUCUUGGAUACCACAGUGUAAUUUUUCUUAACCAGUUUCCAAAUUUGACUUUUAUAUUUUUU